Molecule: ribosomal RNA, 440 nt
Filed under: uncultured bacterium
Lineage: Bacteria
Description: partial 16S ribosomal RNA
Rfam family: Bacterial small subunit ribosomal RNA
Source: RNAcentral
CCUACGGGAGGCAGCAGUGGGGAAUAUUGCACAAUGGGGGAAACCCUGAUGCAGCGACGCCGCGUGAAGGAAGAAGUAUUUCGGUAUGUAAACUUCUAUCAGCAGGGAAGAAAAUGACGGUACCUGACUAAGAAGCCCCGGCUAACUACGUGCCAGCAGCCGCGGUAAUACGUAGGGGGCAAGCGUUAUCCGGAUUUACUGGGUGUAAAGGGAGCGUAGGCGGUUUAGCAAGUCAGAAGUGAAAGCCCGGGGCUAAACUCCGGGACUGCUGUUGAAACUGUUGAACAAGAUUGCAGGAGAGGUAGGAGGAAUGCGCAGUGUAGCGGUGAAAUGCGGAGAUAUUGGGAAGAACACCAGUGGCGAAGGCGGCAUACUGGACUGUAAAUGACGAUGAGGCACGAAAGCGUGGGGAGCGAACAGGAUUAGAUACCCUGGUAGUC